Molecule: ribosomal RNA, 253 nt
Filed under: uncultured bacterium
Lineage: Bacteria
Description: partial 16S ribosomal RNA
Rfam family: Bacterial small subunit ribosomal RNA
Source: RNAcentral
UACGUAGGGACCGAGCGUUGUCCGGAAUCAUUGGGCGUAAAGAGCGUGUAGGCGGCCUUUUAAGUCCUGCGUGAAAUCCUGCGGCUCAACCGCAGACGGUCGUGGGAAACUGGAAGGCUAGAGUGCGGGAGAGGAGAGUGGAAUUCCCGGUGUAGCGGUGAAAUGCGCAGAUAUCGGGAAGAACACCCGUGGCGAAGGCGGGUCUCUGGGCCGAUACUGACGCUGAGGAGCGAAAGCGUGGGGAGCGAACAGG